RNAcentral lists this long non-coding RNA (3231 nucleotides) under Sus scrofa (pig). Its description in RNAcentral is "lncRNA (ENSSSCG00000060906.1)". The record is from RNAcentral. Lineage: Eukaryota; Metazoa; Chordata; Mammalia; Artiodactyla; Suidae.
UUCCUAGCUGCUGGAAGAGGAAUACAUUUGGGAAGCAAUGUAUUUAAGCUCCGGGAGAUUAGGAUAUGGGUAUGAGCCAAGACAUUUUUGGUUGCUGCUUAAUGAUGUAACUUGUUUGUGGAAUGGGACAGGCCACUGUAUUGGAAGCUGGGUGAUCUCAGCCCAAGGCAUAGUGUUAUACAGGUAGACAUGUGCAAAAAGAUUAAUGGGAAACUAGGCUUAACAGAGUGUUGAAGUGUUAAAGAGGGAACUCAAAGACCUUGUCCCUCUGGAUUGACCUUCAGGUUGAAUGUAGGUAAAGCCAAGUGCACUACAUGCUGUUUGCCUUGGAGUGCUCCUCAGUCACACAGAAAUAUAAUUUUUUUCUGAUUUGAACUCUUCAACGUGAAAUGUUAACAAAAACAUCUAGCCUAGGGUUUAAAAAUGUAUUCAGCAAAGAAAGUAUUGAAAAUAUUUAAUGCUUCAAAUAAUUUUCCCUAGCCUUUGAGAUAUCUUGCACUAAAAAUGUCUUUUUGCUGAAGCAUUUUCUAAAAUAUUAGUUUCCACUUUUACUUUCUGCUCCCAGGAUAACUAUUCCUCUGAACCAAAACAGCUCCUUUAUUUUAUUUUUUCCUUUUUCAUUUUUUUUUCUCUUUCUGAAAUAACCUGUCCUGAAGACAUAAACAACUUACCUUGAUGGCUUGCCAAGACUCUGUCCUGCCACAGAUCUCCUCCUCAUCUUUCAUUUUUUACCCCAAGGAACAGUAAACAUGAAUCCUGACCCACCAAUGCAGCCCCAGAAGUGAUGAGAGAUACACUGUAGCUAAAUGGUAGGUAGAAAUAAAAACAGUGCUUCAAUUUGAUAAUAUUAAAUGUGCUGGGAAGACAGUCUCCAAGAGAAAGGAUAAAUAACCUACAUAAUGAAGAAUUAGUUAGCAGUGUUAUGUAAAUAUUGUAGCAGCAUCAAUGAGGAGGUAAGCAGAAGUAUUUUAAGACACUAUAUUAUACAAUACACUGUGCACUGUUUCCUGGUGAUAAGGUUUUUAAAGCAUCUUUAUAAGCUCCUCUUCUCUGUUGUGACAGGAUUAUUUUUGCACCUUUGGAAAGCAACUGAAAGAGGAAGCUUGGAAAAAAUCCUGCCUAACAAAGCAGCCAUACUCAAAUAGCUUAAACUAUAAGAAAGAACUGAUUCAAGAUAUAAGAACAGAUUUAAGAUGUAAGAUUAAAACAUACGUAUAAAUGAUAUUCUCAUUUUUUCAGUGCUUUUUAUUCUUGUCAGUGCAGUGAAAUGUGAAAAUGUCAAAGGAUGAAAUUGUUUUUGAUUAUUAUUCCACUAAAUUUUAAAUGGUCACUGAGGCAGAUAUUUCAUGUAAAAACAUCCAGAAACAAUAAUAUUUGUAGUGGAUAAAAUUGUGGGUGGAUAAUGUAAUGUACAAAUUAUCCAGAAGGAAAUCACACUAGUUUAAGAAAAUGUUUUAGCUACUGACAUUAAUAAAUUGACCACCCAGUACACUUCAGAAAAAGCUGACAAUACAUUUUCUCCUCUUUCCACCCUUGAAAAGCUCAGUUUUAUAAUGACAGAAUAUUUAAAUACUUUGAGACUAUCUAGAUUUAAAAUUUUUCUUCAGAGUGUUGAUUCUUGAUUUGACAGUGGUGGCCAAAAUCACUGAAAUUAUGAGUUCUAAGUCUCAUAUUAGACAGCUUAAGAAACAUUAAAGUUUGAUUUAGUGAAAUGGUAAAAAGUAGAAAAAACAAAGAAAUUGAAGCAUCUUAGAUAAUCAAAAAAAUGAAUACUUAUAAUUAAUCAACCCCUUUGUAUAACCAAGUUUUGAUUGUCUAGCUGUGUUUGUAUCAUUGUAGACUCUCUACAGAGAAUGUUUAAUUGUAGGAUACCUUCUCCCUAUAUUCUUUCUGUUGCCAUUAGUUGUUGUAUACUCAGCAAAGGUAAAGACAUUUUAAUAUUAGUUAUGUUUUAGUCAAGAGGCCACCAGAACAGGGAUAUGUCUGGAAAUAGAAGCCAGAGGCCUAAGGGCACUAAUUGAAAGUAGAUAAACACAGAUACAAUGAAAAUUUUUAGGUUGAAAUCAAGUUAAAAAAAAGCAAAUUAGUUAAAAUACAGAAAUGCAGGCAUAGGCUAGAAUAUAGGAGUUGCAUCCAGGUAACCAAUGGGGCAGAUGAGAACAGAGUGCCUUUAGCAGUGGUGAUCCGGUGUCUAGAAAUGAGUCAAACCUCUGGGGACCUAGAGAACAAGGGCAAUGUCAAGGGUUUAUAGAAAAAUAUUCUUUCAUAUUGGAAAAGCCCUUCUUCAGAUGAUAUUUAUAAUUCCAGACCUAAGAGCUGUUGAAUUCAGUUUAUCAGUGGCCAAGCCAGGUUAAAUCAGUCUCUCAAAUUGCAGCUGGGUUUCUCUUAUUACGUUUUUUACUAAAAGCACUGUAAAAGACAAUGAAGAGCAUUUGCUUUGUAAAAUCUCUCAUCUCUUCCCACCAUCAAGCAUUUAUCAGACCUGAUUACAGUGUAAAUACAUGAACAGUUAAGGCAUUACAGGAAAAUCAGGAGAAAAAGGGAUUGGUGAAUUGCGAAAGUGGGCUAGAGGUGGUAUAUUUGGAAUUGAGAUGCCAUUGAACCACCUGAGUUACACUUUAACUGAGGUAGGAUAUAGAAUUGGAACUGGGAACAAGGUUUGAAAGUUUGUUUUCCUGAGUUAUGAAUUAGGAUUUUGGGGAUGUUUAUGAGGAGCACUCUUCUUAAAUCUUCAGAAAUAACUGAAUUUAAGGUUAAUUUUACUUUAUAACCCUUCUUUUCAUGUUCACUGGGAUCUAAUUGAACAGAAGAGACACUAUCAGAAUAAGCCUGUUACAAUAAACAUUUUAUGAAAGAAAACCCCAAGGAAGUGAAUAUGGAAACGGCUAAAGAAGAUGAGAUUUUUCUUAAAAUCUAAAUACUUACUGUAGUGUUGGGUUUUGAAAUGUCGUAUAAGGCAAGGACUGUUAAUUAAUUUGGGCCAAAUUCCACACCUGCAAGAUAUCCAUUUGUGGGAAAUAAGAUUUUAGAAACCUGUAUUAUCCAUGGAAUGUAUGGUAACUAUUUAAUAUUUCAUUUAAGGUUUUAUCUCAUAAAUAACAUCAUUUUGCUUUAUGUUGUUUUACAUGAAGAUCAUUUUAAAUACAACUUACUAUUAAUACUUUGAAAUCUAACCCAUGGUUGAUUGUCAGAUAAAUCAAUCAGUCAAAGCUCUACAGAAUGAUUAUAGCC